CUUUCACUGCACAACUUCUUCCAUAUACUUCCCUCUCUCUCAUCCCAUUGUUACCAUUUCCAUUGGUUGUUUGUUCUCAGCUCAAGGAGGAUUCUUGCCCAAGUCCUCGUUUUUCUUAUCGGAAUGGUAGAUUUGAGGUAAAGAGGUUUCACAUUGGUCAAGUAAUCCUCAGAUCUAGCUUCAUUGUCACUCAUUAACACCAAUUCCAUGCACUAAUUCAUGGACCAAGCAGUGUUCUGUGCCAGCUAGUUCUUACUUGUAGUAGAUCUUGUGGAUUGAUGGAUUAUAGGGUUUGAAAAUAGAAACACUUCUUCCAAAUUUUGUAAGAGGCGAGCGAGGCUUGACUGUUUGAGACUUGCAAAGAUCUGUCUCCAUCAUAUUUUAUGUGAAAAAAGGGAGGUACAACAAGCAAAAAGGAGCAAAAAUAAAGAAAAAAAAGAAGAAAAUCAGAAGAAGCUCAAGUUCAGCAAGGAGCUAAGUGCAGGACGUGCCCAGCGCGCAUGAAGGCAAGGCGCUAAGCGCACGACACGCGCUGAGCGCGAGGCUUCACGCCCAACGAGCUUACGAAGGCGCAAGCCCAAGUUUGCACCUAUAAAUAAGAGGGUCAGCCUAGGAAAACGAACACACUUCCUUAGAGCUCAAUUUUCAGACUUCUGACACUCAGUUCUCUCCUUUUCCUUCCCUUUUCUUAUAUUCUUAUUACCUUUCUUUCACCCCCCUCCUCAUUGUAAAGCCCUCAUGACUAUGAGUGGCUAAACCCCUAG
Glycine soja is the source of this 764-nucleotide long non-coding RNA. RefSeq lists it as uncharacterized. The record is from RefSeq and is a predicted model, not a curated record. The transcript is spliced from 3 exons. NCBI's taxonomy places the organism in Eukaryota, Viridiplantae, Streptophyta, Magnoliopsida, Fabales, Fabaceae.